Molecule: transfer RNA, 91 nt
Filed under: Haemophilus influenzae
Lineage: Bacteria; Pseudomonadati; Pseudomonadota; Gammaproteobacteria; Pasteurellales; Pasteurellaceae
Description: tRNA-Gln(ttg)
Source: RNAcentral
AUAGAGUUAGUGCAUAAUUUUAUUUCCUUUGAUGGAAUGUUUUGGAUAGUAUAACGAACAAGAAACAUGGUGCAAAUGCCGUCGCUUUUUA